UGCGUCAUAGCACAGAGGUAGCGCUCCCAUUUUCCAACUUGGAGGUCUUGGGUUCGAUCCCCCCAAUCCCAU
Molecule: transfer RNA, 72 nt
Filed under: Hordeum vulgare
Lineage: Eukaryota; Viridiplantae; Streptophyta; Magnoliopsida; Poales; Poaceae
Description: tRNA-OTHER
Source: RNAcentral